Molecule: ribosomal RNA, 253 nt
Filed under: uncultured bacterium
Lineage: Bacteria
Description: partial 16S ribosomal RNA
Rfam family: Bacterial small subunit ribosomal RNA
Source: RNAcentral
UACGAAGGGGGCUAGCGUUGUUCGGAAUUACUGGGCGUAAAGGGUGCGCAGGCGGCCAGGUGUGUUAGGCGUGAAAGCCUGAGGCUUAACCUCAGAAUUGCACCUAAAACUACAUGGCUAGAGCAUUGGAGAGGGUAGCGGAAUUCACGGUGUAGCAGUGAAAUGCGUAGAUAUCGUGAGGAACACCAGAGGCGAAGGCGGCUACCUGGACCGGUAUUGACGCUGAGGCGCGAAAGCUAGGGUAGCAAACGGG